UAGACCUCCCUCUCUCUCUUUCACACACAUCCCAAUUCUUCAUAUUUCGUCUUCCUCAGUCCUUUUUUUCCCUCUUGGAAACCCUAAAUGUCUCAAUCAAUCCACACGAUAUUCCCAGUAUGGUUCCAAUGAAGAGAAGACUCAAGUGGCGGACAUCAUUUAGUUCGCAACAAAACAACGAGGCUCAGAUGGUGGUGCGGAGAACACCGACUUGCUUGCCCAACUUGUUUGCAGGUUAGCAAUGAUUCCCAAGGGUUUCUUAGACCAGCUUCCAUUUUUAUGUAUAAUUCUCUCAUAUGGUUGCCAUGAUAUGUUGGAGCAUUUGGAAAUGUCGAAAUGAGAGUAUCUUCAAUAAGGUUAAACCAGAUUCAAGAAGAGCCAUAAUGCUUGCAGACAGCACGAGGCUUGACUGGUUGAGUCAUCAGGAGAAGAAAGGUAGCGCAACUACGAGAACCUCUGAACCAGCGUGGACUCCUCCCCCUGCAGGAUCAAUGAAAAUGAAUUUUGAUGCAGGCUGGGCUGGCGCUACGGGCAUGGGGCUUGGCCUUGUUGUUUGAGACAGCCUGGGUGCGUUUCAAGUGGCUGCAACUCACUACCAGGAAGUUAGAAUGGACCCGCUGAUGGCUGAAGCAGUUGAUUUAAGAUGGGCUCUGAACUUAGCAACUAAUUGGAACCUUGACAGCUUGGUAGUCUCCUCUGAUUGAGUAUCCCUCUUUGAAAAACAUUCUUUUGGAUUGUCCCAUUGAGUAUCCCUCUUUGAAAAACAUUCUUUUGGAUUGUUUACAGUUAAUAGAUAGCUUUAGUUCUUUCUCUCUGUUGUCUGAGUAUAGACAAACAAAUAGAGUUGCGCAUGCUUUAGCUGCUGAAAGUCAUUUGUACAAAGACUGCG
Molecule: long non-coding RNA, 889 nt
Organism: Lotus japonicus
Lineage: Eukaryota; Viridiplantae; Streptophyta; Magnoliopsida; Fabales; Fabaceae
Exons: 4
Source: RefSeq, a predicted model, not a curated record